GACGAACGCUGGCGGCGUGCUUAACACAUGCAAGUCGAACGGAAAGGCCCUGCUCUUGUGGGGUGCUCGAUUGGCGAACGGGUGAGUAACACGUGUGUAACCUGUCCUUGACUUUGGGAUAACUUCAGGGAACUGGGGCUAAUACCGGAUAUGAGCUCCUGCUGCAUGGUGGGGGUUGGAAAGUUUCGGCUGUUGGGGCUGGACUCGAGGUUUAUCAGCUUGUUGGUGGGGUAGGGGCUUACCAAGGGUUUGACGGGUAGCCGGCCUGGGAGGGUGACCGGCCACAUGGGGACUGAGAGACGGCCCAGACUCCUACGGGAGGCAGCAGUGGGGAAUAUUGCACAAUGGGCGGAAGCCUGAUGCAGCAACGCCGCGUGCGGGAUGACGGCCUUCGGGUUGUAAACCGCUUUCGCAUGUGACGAAGCGUGAGUGACGGUAAUGGGUAAAGAAGCACCGGCUAACUACGUG
This 468-nucleotide ribosomal RNA is filed under the name uncultured bacterium. RNAcentral's name for it is "partial 16S ribosomal RNA". It matches the Rfam family "Bacterial small subunit ribosomal RNA", at positions 28 to 507 of the family's 1533-position model. The record is from RNAcentral.